Molecule: ribosomal RNA, 1090 nt
Filed under: Escherichia coli
Lineage: Bacteria; Pseudomonadati; Pseudomonadota; Gammaproteobacteria; Enterobacterales; Enterobacteriaceae
Also listed under: 1 other name
Description: partial 23S ribosomal RNA
Rfam family: Bacterial large subunit ribosomal RNA
Source: RNAcentral
UUCGACACACUAUCAUUAACUGAAUCCAUAGGUUAAUGAGGCGAACCGGGGGAACUGAAACAUCUAAGUACCCCGAGGAAAAGAAAUCAACCGAGAUUCCCCCAGUAGCGGCGAGCGAACGGGGAGGAGCCCAGAGCCUGAAUCAGUGUGUGUGUUAGUGGAAGCGUCUGGAAAGGCGCGCGAUACAGGGUGACAGCCCCGUACACAAAAAUGCACAUAUUGUGAGCUCGAUGAGUAGGGCGGGACACGUGGUAUCCUGUCUGAAUAUGGGGGGACCAUCCUCCAAGGCUAAAUACUCCUGACUGACCGAUAGUGAACCAGUACCGUGAGGGAAAGGCGAAAAGAACCCCGGCGAGGGGAGUGAAAAAGAACCUGAAACCGUGUACGUACAAGCAGUGGGAGCCUCUUAAUGGGGUGACUGCGUACCUUUUGUAUAAUGGGUCAGCGACUUAUAUUCUGUAGCAAGGUUAACCGAAUAGGGGAGCCGAAGGGAAACCGAGUCUUAACUGGGCGUUAAGUUGCAGGGUAUAGACCCGAAACCCGGUGAUCUAGCCAUGGGCAGGUUGAAGGUUGGGUAACACUAACUGGAGGACCGAACCGACUAAUGUUGAAAAAUUAGCGGAUGACUUGUGGCUGGGGGUGAAAGGCCAAUCAAACCGGGAGAUAGCUGGUUCUCCCCGAAAGCUAUUUAGGUAGCGCCUCGUGAAUUCAUCUCCGGGGGUAGAGCACUGUUUCGGCAAGGGGGUCAUCCCGACUUACCAACCCGAUGCAAACUGCGAAUACCGGAGAAUGUUAUCACGGGAGACACACGGCGGGUGCUAACGUCCGUCGUGAAGAGGGAAACAACCCAGACCGCCAGCUAAGGUCCCAAAGUCAUGGUUAAGUGGGAAACGAUGUGGGAAGGCCCAGACAGCCAGGAUGUUGGCUUAGAAGCAGCCAUCAUUUAAAGAAAGCGUAAUAGCUCACUGGUCGAGUCGGCCUGCGCGGAAGAUGUAACGGGGCUAAACCAUGCACCGAAGCUGCGGCAGCGACACUAUGUGUUGUUGGGUAGGGGAGCGUUCUGUAAGCCUGUGAAGGUGGCCUGUGAGGG